GACGAACGCUGGCGGCGUGCUUAACACAUGCAAGUCGAACGGAAAGGCCCUGCUUUUGUGGGGUGCUCGAGUGGCGAACGGGUGAGUAACACGUGAGUAACCUGCCCUUGACUUUGGGAUAACUUCAGGAAACUGGGGCUAAUCCCGUAUCGGAGCUCCUGCUGCAUGGUGGGCGUUGGAAAGUUUCGGCUGUUGGGGAUGGACUCGCGGCUUAUCAGCUUGUUGGUGGGGUAGUGGCUUACCAAGGCUUUGACGGGUAGCCGGCCUGAGAGGGUGACCAGGCACAAUGGGACUGAGAGACGGCCCAGACUCGUACGGGAGGCAGCAGUGGGGAAUAUUGCACAAUGGGCGGAAGCCGGAGGCAGAAACGCCGCGGGCGGGAUGACGGCCUUCGGGUUGUAAACCGCUUUCGCCUGUGACGAAGCGUGAGUGACGGUAAUGAGUAAAGAAGCACCGGCUAACUAUGUG
Molecule: ribosomal RNA, 468 nt
Filed under: uncultured bacterium
Lineage: Bacteria
Description: partial 16S ribosomal RNA
Rfam family: Bacterial small subunit ribosomal RNA
Source: RNAcentral